Molecule: microRNA precursor, 75 nt
Filed under: Cajanus cajan (pigeon pea)
Lineage: Eukaryota; Viridiplantae; Streptophyta; Magnoliopsida; Fabales; Fabaceae
Description: miRNA gene-KK1_048423
Source: RNAcentral
UUUAAAAUCGGCUCUCAAAUAGCCGAUUUUAAAAGUGCUACUUUUAACAUUGGCUAGUUAAGAACCAAUUUUGUA